CCGAGUUUACAACUCCCAAACUCCUGUGAACAUACCACUUGUUGCCUCGGCGGAUCAGCCCGCUCCCGGUAAAACGGGACGGCCCGCCAGAGGACCCCUAAACUCUGUUUCUAUAUGUAACUUCUGAGUAAAACCAUAAAUAAAUCA
This 147-nucleotide unclassified non-coding RNA is filed under the name soil metagenome. Its description in RNAcentral is "partial internal transcribed spacer 1". The record is from RNAcentral.